This 230-nucleotide small RNA is filed under the name uncultured Paenibacillus sp. RNAcentral describes it as "ydaO/yuaA leader". It matches the Rfam family "c-di-AMP riboswitch aptamer (ydaO/yuaA leader)", at positions 11 to 130 of the family's 134-position model. From Rfam's summary of the family: This family represents a conserved RNA structure found upstream of the ydaO and yuaA genes in Bacillus subtilis and related genes in other bacteria. The record is from RNAcentral. Lineage: Bacteria; Bacillati; Bacillota; Bacilli; Caryophanales; Paenibacillaceae.
UCGCUUAAUCUCUGGGAUAUUCCAGGGAACGGGGGAACCAACAAGUGCUUGCUGCGUGAUGAUCAAUGCGGCUUGCGCGACGUCUGAAGGGCCAGGGCUGGUGUGAGAGCCAACACAGGCCCAUUCGGACAGGGGUGAAUCCUGAGGAAGAGACCAUGGACUCUUCUCGGGUAGGGCGACUCUCACCGCCCGAAUCCGUCAGCUAACUCCGUCAGCGUGGGUAUGAGAGA